RNAcentral lists this ribosomal RNA (495 nucleotides) under uncultured bacterium. RNAcentral describes it as "partial 16S ribosomal RNA". It matches the Rfam family "Bacterial small subunit ribosomal RNA", at positions 28 to 507 of the family's 1533-position model. The record is from RNAcentral.
GAUGAACGCUGGCGGCGUGCCUAAUACAUGCAAGUAGAACGCUGAAGGAGGAGCUUGCUCUUCUGGAUGAGUUGCGAACGGGUGAGUAACGCGUAGGUAACCUGCCUGGUAGCGGCGGAUAACUAUUGGAAACGAUAGUUAAUAUCGCAUGACAACAGUUAUUGCAUGAUAACUGUUUAAAAGGGGCAACUGCUCCACUACCAGAUGGCCCUGCGUUGUAUUAGGUAGUUGGUGAGGUAACGGCUCACCAAGGCGAAGGUACAUAGCCGGCCUGAGAGGGGGGACGGCCACACUGGGACUGGGACACGGCCCAGACUCCUACGGGGAGCAGCAGGAGGGAAUCUUCGGCAAUGGGCGGAAGGCUGGCCGAACAACGCCGCGGGAGGGAAGGAAGGUUUCGGAUCGGAAAGCUCUGUUGGAAGAGAAGAACAAGUGGGAGAGUGAAAAGUUCACGCUGUGACGGUAUCUUACCAGAAAGGAACGGCUAACUACGUG